UCGUUCUCCUCCUCUGCCAGCAGCGAUCAGUCGCCAGGAUCCGGAAGCACAGCUCCCGGACAAUCCGGAAGCACCGUUCCCGCGCAAUCCGGAAGCACAGCUCCUGGAGGCACAGCUCUCACUCCCCCACAUCCUCUUUUGGUUCCUCGCCCCGGCGAUCCAAAGCCGAAUCCCAUUCCGCCCAAGCCAAGAUCGUCAUCGCCCACGACUCCAUCGAGCUCCGACGCAGCAGUGGCGCUGUCGUCCGGGCAGGAGGAUGUGAGCUUACUCGCCCCAGCGCGAGCUCCAGAGGGAUCUUCAUCGUUUCCCGCGAAAGCUAGCGCUCCAGCUCCUGGAUCAUCGACCCAGCCCAAGGAAGAACUCUCCACCACCACCGCAAAAGGAGUUCCUCCUCUUCUUCCAUCAUCUUCCACUUUCGCUCCUCUUUCUCCUCCUCCAGCUUUUUCUCUUCCAUCGCGUAAAUUCGCCCCUUCUCCGGCUGGAACUCCUGAUCCCGAGGAAGAAGUUCCUGUUACAAGCAGUGGUGAUCGCCACAAGCAUGGCCACGGCCAUCACUGCCGCCAAAGCAAGAUCUUGAUUCGCGGCCAAGUUCUAUGCAAGAAGUGUGGCGAUGAUGGCAAAAGCAAGCCACUCUCCGGUAACUUCUUCCUCUUCCCUCAUCAUUUCACGUAUGCAUGGAAAAUUCCUUCGCUCCAAGACGUUUCCAAGGAUCAAAGAUCUUUGGUGUUCUUCAGUGAUCUAACUCUCCGAGAUCAUGCGCAGGGGUCACGGUGGCUGUGGAUUGCUCGCACUCCAGCUUCGUCACCACCACGGACAAGCACGGCAAGUUUAAGAUCCAGUUCCGGCAUCCACUUCGCGGUAGCAUGGAGAAUUGCGCGGCUUGGGUGGAACUCUUCACGCUGCCUUUCCAGUGCCAGAAUCGCCACUCUCGCCUGGUACGCGGCACUCUAGCCUUUGAUUCCACGGACCACAAUGACGUGCUCGUGUAUAGCGUGAACUCUCUCCUCAUGGAAUGCUAGAAGAUCA
Molecule: long non-coding RNA, 1026 nt
Filed under: Selaginella moellendorffii
Lineage: Eukaryota; Viridiplantae; Streptophyta; Lycopodiopsida; Selaginellales; Selaginellaceae
Description: long non-coding RNA (SMOE_LNC000873)
Source: RNAcentral